CCUACGGGAGGCAGCAGUGGGGAAUCUUGCGCAAUGGGCGAAAGCCUGACGCAGCAACGCCGCGUGCGGGAAGAAGGCUUUCGGGCUGUAAACCGCUUUCAGCAGGAACGAAAAUGACGGUACCUGCAGAAGAAGGAGCGGCCAACUAUGUGCCAGCAGCCGCGGUGAUACAUAGGCUUCAAGCGUUGUCCGGAUUUAUUGGGCGUAAAGAGUUCGUAGGCGGUCGAGUAAGUCGGGUGUGAAAAUUCUGGGCUCAACCCAGAGACGCCACCCGAUACUGCUUGACUUGAGUUCGAUAGGGGAGUGGGGAAUUCCUAGUGUAGCGGUGAAAUGCGCAGAUAUUAGGAGGAACACCGGUGGCGAAGGCGCCACUCUGGAUCGAUACUGACGCUGAGGAACGAAAGCAUGGGUAGCAAACAGGAUUAGAUACCCUGGUAGUCCAUGCCGUAAACGGUGGGCACUAGGUGUGGGUUUCUAUUAACGAAAUCCGCGCCGUCGCUAACGCAUUAAGUGCCCCGCCUGGGGAGGUACGGUCGCGAGACGUAAACGUAACGAAGUAGUAAGUACGUGUUGAGUAGUUCGACGACGCGACGACGGAGGGAGGAG
RNAcentral lists this ribosomal RNA (606 nucleotides) under uncultured bacterium. RNAcentral describes it as "bacterial SSU rRNA". It matches the Rfam family "Bacterial small subunit ribosomal RNA", at positions 338 to 1533 of the family's 1533-position model. The record is from RNAcentral.